Molecule: ribosomal RNA, 460 nt
Filed under: uncultured bacterium
Lineage: Bacteria
Description: partial 16S ribosomal RNA
Rfam family: Bacterial small subunit ribosomal RNA
Source: RNAcentral
CCUACGGGUGGCAGCAGUGAGGAAUAUUGGUCAAUGGACGAGAGUCUGAACCAGCCAAGCAGCGUGAAGGAUGACUGCCCUAUGGGUUGUAAACUUCUUUUAUAAAGGAAUAAAACGAGGCACGCGUGCCUUUCUGCAUGUACUUUAUGAAUAAGGAUCGGCUAACUCCGUGCCAGCAGCCGCGGUAAUACGGAGGAUCCGAGCGUUAUCCGGAUUUAUUGGGUUUAAAGGGUGCGUAGGUGGUCUGUUAAGUCAGUUGUGAAAUUCUGCGGCUCAACCGUAGAAUUGCAUUUGAUACUGGCAGUCUUGAGUGCAGUUGAGGUAGGCGGAAUGCGUGGUGUAGCGGUGAAAUGCUUAGAGAUCAUGAAGAACACCGAUUGCGAAGGCAGCUUACUAAGCUGUGACUGACAUUGAUGCACGAAAGUGUGGGUAUCAAACAGGAUUAGAUACCCGAGUAGUC